RNAcentral lists this long non-coding RNA (2668 nucleotides) under Olea europaea subsp. europaea. The record is from RNAcentral. Lineage: Eukaryota; Viridiplantae; Streptophyta; Magnoliopsida; Lamiales; Oleaceae.
UUAUAAUCAAUUGCUUUUAAAAUUAAAAUCAGUUCAAUUACAUAAUUUCAAUAGCAUAUUCUAUUCGUAUUACAUGUUUCAGUAUAACUAAAGUUAUUUUCUAAAAAUCGCCAAAAGGUACCCAGGUGACUUUACCCUAGUCUGCACUGGUGUAAAUGUGUUCCCACAGUGUAUGACCAAUUAUGGUGAUUUUACCCACUCUCUAUUGUGAAUGUGUUUCCAUGGUGUAUGACCAGAUUAUCAAAGGUCUUUGGAACCCACUCUCGUACACACAUAGGCUUUGGACCGUGUACUAGGGUGAUUAGCUUUUGGAGCAGCUCUACGUACAUAUGACCAGAUUAUUAGAUGUGAAUGACUUUGCCUUGUUCAUCGAGAUUACUCUGUACAUGAGUAAGGCUAUUCACUGAGUACCUUUUUGGUUUGAUUUUCAGUAAUAUACAACUUAUCAGAUUUCAGACUACAGAAAUUAGCUUAUUCAGUUUGUAGAGUAAUGAUUUCAGCUUAUAAUACUGUAUAAGGAUAUUUUCACUUAUAUUUACUGAUAUCAGAUUAUUUAUAUUCAUUAUAAUUUACAGUUUCUUAUCUAGAAUGAAAAACAAAGAAUUUUACGAUGCAUUCAUGUUUGGUUUUAAAAGUGUUACCAAAUUUCAGAAUUUUUCAAAAUUUAAUAGAGUAAGAAUUUUCAGAAAAUAUGCAUAAAAGAAAAAGUAUAUUUAUUUGCAAAUUAUCCACUCACUGAGCUAUAAGUUUAUAUAUCUUUUCACAUUUUUAUUUAACAGAUAGCAGCCGAGUUGAGUAGAUUUGGAGCCUGUCGAUCCACCAAAUUGAGCCACGCGCCAUAAGUUGUAUGGCCUACGUUAUUAGAUUACACAGUACAUGUUUCUUGUGGGUUACAUGUAGUUUAGGUCAGAAAAGGUCAUCAUAGGCUGACUACAUAUUUGAUAUCUUUAGUACAUUUGAGGAGUUUUGGUUGUAGAGCAAAGUAAAUAUCGAUUUGUCAGUAUUUUAUUUUUGAAUAGUUAGUAUUUUGAGAUACUGGAGUAUCAUAUUUUACAUUAUAUGAACGGACUUGAGAAAAUUGGGUGUUGAUUAGGUGGUUUUAAUCCAUAUUUUAGAGGUGACCCUAUCAAAAUUCUUUUAAAAUAUUUCACAGUCAAAGCAAGUCAACGUUGCAUUGGUAGUGGGUCCGGCAUUUAGCUGGAAUCUACCAUUGGCACACAACACGUGUCGAAUCAAAGGUGAUUCGGGAUGGGUUGUGUCAGAAGUAGCUAAUAUGCUGUUUAUUUGUUUCAUCUUUGGCCGAUGUGUAAAUAAAGAUGUGAGGCUUCUCAAUGAUAUUAGAUAUAUCCUUUAUGCAUACGGACAUUUCAUAAAAAAUUUUUGCGCUUAGAGUUUCCUUGUACCUUCACAUGUCCUCUGUUUUAUGGAAGAUUGGCCAGAAAAUGCAUUCUCCAUGCACACCUUUCAGAAGUUAAGAGCACACGGAGUUGUAAGUGGAAGAACCAAUACUUCCCAGCAGAUGAGGAAGCUAAAUUCUUUUAAAAGCCUUUCUUUCAUAGACUCACUUCAUUUAUGGCGUCUUGCUCUCUUCUUCUCUUACACAUCGUGGUAAAAGUCUAUUUCUUUUCCACUUUUAGUAGAGACUUUUUUCAAAUCCAAAGAAAUUCCGGGGCAUAACUCUUUUAUCUUUCACUAAUAUUAGUAUAUUUCCUCAACAACGCACAGCUCUCUUGUGCAAUCACCGUGGUUUCUCUUAACUUAAUUUCUCAAUCUCCAUUCAUUAGUAAGGUUGCAGAAAUCACCCAAUGGCUCACAUCAACAACCUCCUAUGAGACGUCAAUGGAGUUUGCAUGUUGUGCUAAAAUAAAUCAAUAGAUGGUGAGACUCUCAUGUGCAAGACGUGUGUCAUUCCCCUAGCUUUGAUACCAUAUUAAGAAUAAGUUCAGCAUUUUUAUAAGCAAUUGCUCAAGUCCUGUAUGUUAUUUAUUUGUCUUUAAUUGAUGCACAAUUAAAUACCUGAGGUUUUUGAAGGACAUGAGACAUUAUUUGUGCACGAUGGGAAUUUCAUAAUAUUCUUUUGUGCUGAAUUGUCCUAGUAUCUCCACAAGUUUGUUUAAAGAGAUUGUCCAGCAAAGGACUAUCUAUGCUCAUCUUGCAGAAAUUAUGAGCCAUGGAUUUGUAAAUAGAAGAACCAUCACUUAGUUCUUUCAAAAGCAUUCCUUUCACGGGCUCGUUUUGUUUUUGGUGUCUUGCUCUCUUUGUGCUCUUACCUUCAUCUUCAUAAAAUAUCUGGUACUGGUGGAGGCUUUUCUCCAAUUCCAAUGACUCCUUUCAAUAAAAUUCGUAGCAUGCUUUAUUCCUCAUCAAUAGGCAGUUCUCUUGGGCAAUCACAAUGAUUUAAUUUUACUUUUUUUCUCAGUUAGUUGGGGUGCAGCAAUCACCCAAUGGCCCAUGUAAGCAAUCUCCCUUGCAAUACCGGUGAAAUCCACAUGGUGUUCAAGGACAAGUCAAUAGAAUGGCGAGAAGCAUGGUGUUCGAGAACAAGUCAAUAGAAUGACAAGACAUGUGCAAAUCGUAUGUCACUCAAUGGGUAUUGAAACCAUAUUAAGAAUUUGGAUUUCAUAUUAAAACAUCGACCUUUUCAAGAGAGGUAGUCCAAGCAUUUAUA